AUUGAACGCUGGCGGCAGGCCUAACACAUGCAAGUCGAACGAGUGGCGGACGGGUGAGUAAUGUCUGGGAAACUGCCUGAUGGAGGGGGAUAACUACUGGAAAAGGUAGCUAAUACCGCAUACCAUCGGAUGUGCCCAGAUGGGAUUAGCUAGUAGGUGGGUGAAAGGCUCACCUGGGCGACGAUCCCUACCUGGUCUGAGAGGAUGACAGGUCAAACUGGAACUGUGACACGGUCCAGACUCCUACGGGAGGCAGCAGUGGGGAAUAUUGCACAAUGGGCGAAAGCCUGAGGCAGCCAUGCCGCGUGUAUGAAGAAGGCCUUCGGGUUGUAAAGGACUUUCAGCGGGGAGUCGUUACCCGCAGAAGAAGCACCGGCUAACUCCGUGCCAGCAGCCGCGGUAAUAC
RNAcentral lists this ribosomal RNA (406 nucleotides) under uncultured bacterium. RNAcentral describes it as "partial 16S ribosomal RNA". It matches the Rfam family "Bacterial small subunit ribosomal RNA", at positions 30 to 526 of the family's 1533-position model. The record is from RNAcentral.